UUUUUUAUGACUCUACAUGGUCUGAUAUUGUGAAGAGUAAUGAGAAGCGCAGCAGAGGUGAACAAGUCUGUCAGCAAUAAACUACUACCACUUCCAACAAUUUCUUACUUGUUUUGGAGAAAGAAAAUUGAGCCCCCGUACUUUUCUCCUUCUCUCAACAGAACCAUCUAGUACCCUUAAGACCCUGCCGAACAGAGUCAGGUGAAGAUUUCUCGCGAGGUACAUAUGUCUAGUCAUAAUACACCUGUCCUAGGAUAGGGUUAAAAAGAUGCUCUCCUAGAUCAAUGGGCAAAAGCUCACUAAAUCUUGACUUUCAGUAGAAAUAAAGACCAUAUAAGCGCAGCGUGUCAAUCCUUCUAUUACAGAGGGUCUUUGAUAAGAGCAAAAAGGUCACUACAGGAACAGAUGGAUUAUGGCAGUUAGGCGUCCAUAGCAACUGUGCUUUUUGAACCACCAAUGUCUGCUUCUUCCAUCAUUGCAAAGCAGAACUGGUAAGAACCACAAUGUUCCUGUGCUCGCAAGAAGUAUUAGAUUCAUUCAAAGUGGUAAGUU
RNAcentral lists this non-coding RNA (552 nucleotides) under Ancylostoma duodenale. RNAcentral's name for it is "Eukaryotic large subunit ribosomal RNA". It matches the Rfam family "Eukaryotic large subunit ribosomal RNA", at positions 2416 to 2941 of the family's 3401-position model. The record is from Rfam by way of RNAcentral. Lineage: Eukaryota; Metazoa; Nematoda; Chromadorea; Rhabditida; Ancylostomatidae.